Molecule: ribosomal RNA, 861 nt
Filed under: Stachybotrys elegans
Lineage: Eukaryota; Fungi; Ascomycota; Sordariomycetes; Hypocreales; Stachybotryaceae
Description: LSU rRNA
Rfam family: Eukaryotic large subunit ribosomal RNA
Source: RNAcentral
GCGGAGGAAAAGAAACCAACAGGGAUUGCCUCAGUAACGGCGAGUGAAGCGGCAACAGCUCAAAUUUGAAAUCUGGCCCUAGGCCCGAGUUGUAAUUUGCAGAGGAUGCUUUUGGCGAGGUGCCUUCCGAGUUCCCUGGAACGGGACGCCAUAGAGGGUGAGAGCCCCGUCUGGUCGGACACCGAGCCUCUGUAAAGCUCCUUCGACGAGUCGAGUAGUUUGGGAAUGCUGCUCUAAAUGGGAGGUAUAUGUCUUCUAAAGCUAAAUACCGGCCAGAGACCGAUAGCGCACAAGUAGAGUGAUCGAAAGAUGAAAAGCACUUUGAAAAGAGAGUUAAAUAGCACGUGAAAUUGUUGAAAGGGAAGCGUUUACGACCAGACUUGGGCCGGUUGAUCAUCCAGCGUUCUCGCUGGUGCACUCUGCCGGCCCAGGCCAGCAUCAGUUCGCCCCGGGGGAUAAAGGCGGCGGGAAUGUGGCUCCUCGGAGUGUUAUAGCCCGCCGUGCAAUACCCUGAGGUGGACUGAGGUUCGCGCUCUGCAAGGAUGCUGGCGUAAUGGUCGUCAACGACCCGUCUUGAAACACGGACCAAGGAGUCGUCUUCGUAUGCGAGUGUUCGGGUGUAAAACCCCUACGCGUAAUGAAAGUGAACGCAGGUGAGAGCUUCGGCGCAUCAUCGACCGAUCCUGAUGUUCUCGGAUGGAUUUGAGUAAGAGCAUACGGGGCCGGACCCGAAAGAAGGUGAACUAUGCCUGUAUAGGGUGAAGCCAGAGGAAACUCUGGUGGAGGCUCGCAGCGGUUCUGACGUGCNNAUCGAUCGUCAAAUAUGGGCAUGGGGGCGAAAGACUAAUCGANCCUUCUAGU